UUGAGAAGCUGAUUUUUGUGGGUGGGAGCUGGAUAUAGAAAUAGUUCAUGCCUAUCAGCUGGUAUGUGGUUCUGAGGCUCUGUUCAGACACAAAAAUUGGAACUCUCUUGGGCCAUAUUAAUCAAACCUUAUGGGUGACGCAAGUCCACGAGGGUCAGGUAUUCUUUUUUCUUGCUUAUGUAUCCCAAGUUGUUCAUCAAGGUUCUUGGAGGUUGCCUAGGGGACGUCACAUGAUCCUUUCGCUCUUGAAAGCAUGAUUUCCUUUAUACCUAUUGGGAGAACUGGAGAUGGACGGUCGAGAUGAUUGUCCAAGACUAUGAAA
This is a long non-coding RNA of Arabidopsis thaliana (thale cress), 322 nucleotides long. RefSeq annotates it as other RNA. NCBI's taxonomy places the organism in Eukaryota, Viridiplantae, Streptophyta, Magnoliopsida, Brassicales, Brassicaceae. The record is from RefSeq. The transcript has a single exon.